UGGGGAAUAUUGGACAAUGGGGGGAACCCUGAUCCAGCGACGCCGCGUGAGUGAAGAAGUAUUUCGGUAUGUAAAGCUCUAUCAGCAGGGAAGAAAAUGACGGUACCUGACUAAGAAGCCCCGGCUAACUACGUGCCAGCAGCCGCGGUAAUACGUAGGGGGCAAGCGUUAUCCGGAUUUACUGGGUGUAAAGGGAGCGCAGACGGCUUGGCAAGUCUGAAGUGAAAGCCCGGGGCUUAACCCCGGGACUGCUUUGGAAACUGUGAAGCUAGAGUGUCGGAGAGGUAAGUGGAAUUCCCAGUGUAGCGGUGAAAUGCGUAGAUAUUGGGAGGAACACCGGCGGCGAAGGCGGCUUACUGGACGAUAACUGACGUUGAGGCUCGAAGGCGUGGGGAGCAAACAGGAUUAGAUACCCUGGUAGUCCACGCGGUAAACGAUGAAUACUAGGUGUCGGGGGACAUAGUCUUUCGGUGCCGCCGCUNACGCAUUAAGUAUUCCACCUGGGGAGUACGUUCGCAAGAAU
RNAcentral lists this ribosomal RNA (523 nucleotides) under uncultured bacterium. Its description in RNAcentral is "bacterial SSU rRNA". It matches the Rfam family "Bacterial small subunit ribosomal RNA", at positions 355 to 895 of the family's 1533-position model. The record is from RNAcentral.